UGAGGAAUUUUCUGCAAUGGGCGAAAGCCUGACAGAGCAAUAUCGCGUGAAGGAUGAAAGCCUAUGGGUUGUAAACUUCUUUUCUCAAGGAAGAAAUAUUGACGUUACUUGAGGAAUAAGCAUCGGCUAACCCUGUGCCAGCAGCCGCGGUAAUACAGGGGAUGCAAGUGUUAUCCGGAAUUAUUGGGCGUAAAGCGUCUGUAGAUUGAUUUUUAAGUCUUUUGUUAAAUUUUUAGGCUUAACCUAAAAAAUGCAAAAGAAACUAUUUAUCUUUGAGUCUGAUAGAGGUAAAGGGAAUUUUCAGUGGAGCGGUGAAAUGUGUAGAUAUUGGAAAGAACAUCAAAAGCGAAGGCACUUUACUGGGUCUGUACUGACAUUCAGAGACGAAAGCUAGGGGAGCAAACAGG
This 407-nucleotide ribosomal RNA is filed under the name uncultured bacterium. RNAcentral describes it as "bacterial SSU rRNA". It matches the Rfam family "Bacterial small subunit ribosomal RNA", at positions 355 to 776 of the family's 1533-position model. The record is from RNAcentral.